Mytilus trossulus (common blue mussel) is the source of this 201-nucleotide long non-coding RNA. RefSeq lists it as uncharacterized. Lineage: Eukaryota; Metazoa; Mollusca; Bivalvia; Mytilida; Mytilidae. The transcript is spliced from 3 exons. The record is from RefSeq and is a predicted model, not a curated record.
AAUUAUGAUAACGUACGUUGGUCUCAUUCCCUCGACUUAUAUUUGCCCUGUAAUAAUAAGUAAAUCACAAAAAUACUGAACUAGACCAAGAUAUAAUGGCAAGUUGGGAUGAGAAACUUGUUACAGCUGCAAAGGAGGGGAAUUUAAAAGAGGUAGAAUUAUGUGUAAAGAACAGAGCUAACUUGGAAUGGAGAGGAGGUG